Coniochaeta sp. 2T2.1 is the source of this 109-nucleotide non-coding RNA. The record is from the annotation of a GenBank genome assembly. NCBI's taxonomy places the organism in Eukaryota, Fungi, Ascomycota, Sordariomycetes, Coniochaetales, Coniochaetaceae.
GGGGGUAUGGUCUAGGGGUAUGAUUUCUCUUUCGCAAGUCGGUCCUCGAGCAAUUAGGGAUCGAUCACGUGCAUAGAGAAGGUCGUGGGUUCAAUUCCCACUGCCUCCA